CCUACGCCACUAGCUUGAGUGGCUGUAAACAAUCCUAACAAUGAAGCAAUUCAAAUGGCUUUAAUUCUAAACAGUAUCUUAUUAGAAUAAUUUUUUGAAAUAUUUGAGGGUUUUGUUGUUUAAUUUAUGUAAUUUAUCUCCAUCAACAUGAAUUAUACUUACUGGAUCAUCAGUGACAGGAGAGGCAGUGUGGAAGACUCCAUCACAGCCAUAGAUUGCUUCUCUCAAACUUUGGUAGUCCAGAAGAUCAGCUCUACACAGUGUCAGUCUCUCUUUUGCACCUUCAAGUUCUCUCAAGUGACUAUUUUUGGGAUCAUCUGAAUACAAAAUCAUAAUAAUCAAAUAAAAUAUCAUUAAUUUGGAAAUGGGCAUAAUACGUAAAUGUGUCCUUUUAACAAUUGGUUUAAGCUCACAUUUACGUCCUCUUGUGCACAAGUAAGCACAUAAACAUCCAACCUGACAAAUUGCGUGAGAUGCACGCAUUCUACGUGUCAAAUCACGAGAUUUGCAACAUAGCAUAUGUGUCUACUCGUGCAACUUUAUAUGAUAGUUUAAGAGUAUACAAAAAUGUAUCAUGAAUAUUGUACAAAAAUUGAAGAUUUACCAGGAUUUCUAACGGUUCCUCUAACAGUGUAGCCUUUUUGUAGGAGGAUUUUAACAAGCCAAGAAGCAAUGAAACCUCCGGCGCCGGUGACACAGACGACUUUGCCGGAUUCCGAUGGCAUACUCUUACUUUUAUAUAUUAUAAGAGGAAAAUGAAAGUAGUGAGUGAUUUCAAGUUGAUGGAAAAGAUGGACAAGGGAGGAGUAUAUAUAGGAGUUGGAAAAGCCAAAGCCAAUAUUCACCAACUUACCUACUACUGCAGGUUACAUACACUAAUUAUUUCUUGGCUUCAGCCUUCAAAUUUGGAACUUGAACUAGAAAAUGGAAUUUAGGAAUUUUCUACCUUAUUUGAAUUGGGUGUGUUUGGUAUGAAAGGAAAACAUUUUCUCGAAAAUGUUUUUCAAUUUUCUCAUGUUUGGUUGGCUUAAAGAUUUUAAAAAAUGAUUUUCAAAUUAACUUAUUUUUCAAAAAUGACUUCCCUUUAAAAAAAAAAAACAAAGUAAGAAAAAUAUUUUUCAAAACUCUCUUUCAACCUCACUUUAAGUUGAAAUAUUCACACAACUCUCAAAAUCACUCAUUCCUACUUCGACCCUCAAUCCCCCACCCCCAUCCCCACCCCGCCUCCUACCACCCCGAUUAAAAAAAAUAUUUUAAUUAUUUUUUCUUACUUCACCCCCUACCUAAAACCCAAAACCCUACUCCCUUCCCCUUUCUAAUUUUUUUGUUUUUGUUUUUUAAAUUCAAACUUUUUUCUUACCUCCCCUACCCGACCACCCUACCAACUUCCUCCCUCAUCCCAAAAAAGAAAAAAUUUAAAUUUAUUUUUUAAAAUUUUUUAAUUUUUUCCAUAUCCCACCGUCAUUCUCCUACCCCGACCCCCACCCCCAUUCCAAAAAAAUAUUUCAAUUUUUUUUUCUUACCUCACUCUUACUCCCUUACCCUGAAAAAAAAAUAUUUUUUAAGAAACCAAAACUAUUCUCUUAAUCGCUCUUACUAUCUAUUUUGACAACGCCACCCUCCACCUACCAACCCUCUCUUCAAAAAAAAAUAUUUUUUAAAAAUGUAUUUUUAUGCUUUAGCUAAAUACUAAAAUGUAUUUUUUGAAAAAUAUUUUUUCAUUCACCAACCAAACACUACAAAAUAUUUUUCGAAAAAUAUUUUUCAUUCACCAACCAAACAUAGAAAAAUAAAUAAAAAAUCAACUUAUUUUUCGAGAAAAUAUUUUAUAGGAAAAUAUUUUCCUUCAUACCAAAUACACCCUCAGUGUUUUAAUUCAGAAGGAUCUCCUUUGGAACAAAGAACAUAAGGAAUUUUUGGUGGAAAAGAACUCUUUUAUAUCUAUCACUUUUUUCUUUUUUUAAAAGUUGUGUAUUUCUAUAUCUAUAGUACUCUCUCCGUCCCAAAUUAUCUAUUUCAAAUUGAGAUAUCACAUUAAUUAAAAAAAAUAAUUAAUAAUAUGGUUAGUUUACCGUAGUACCCCUAUUAAAUGAUGUUUACAUUUUAAUUUGAAGACAAGGUAAUUAAUGCAAAGGGUAAAACAUGAAAAAAAAAAUUUGGUCUCUUCUUAAUUAAUGAAAAAAGACAAGUAAAUGAGAAAUCAAAUUAGAAAAUUUGAGACGGAGAGAGUAUAUAAUAAGUCAUAAUAAACCGCUUAAGCAGACUGUUUAUGAUCGACAUGCCUGCUUCAGUUGUUUCAAUCGUAAUUUUAUUUUAUUAUUCUUAAUUAAUUUUUAUAAGUUAUUUACGUAUUAAAAAAUUUAAAAUAUUUAAUAAAAAAUUUAAAAUAGACAUUUAUGACAUGACUGCUUCAGCUGCUUCAACCGUGAUUUUACGAUAUCACUCAUAAUUAGUUAUUAUAAUUUAUUUAAGUAUUAAAAAAUUAAUAAUAUUUAAUAAAAAAUAAAAUAGACAUGAAAUAAUAAAUUAUUUUUUGAUGUUUUUAUAAGCCAUUUAAGUAUUAAAAAAUUAAUAAUAUUUAAUAAAAAAUAAAAUAGGCAUAAAAUGAUACAUUAUUUUUUUAUGUUUUAAAUUAACUUGAUGUCUUAUAUGAGACCACUUAAAAAAAAAUUCAAAAAUAUUUGCUACGAUAAUUUUACUAUGUCACUUCUAAUUAGUAGAAUAGAAGAAAAAAAUAUUAUAAACCACAAUAAUAAAGAAUUUAAAUUAUUUAAAAAAAUAUAAUUGACUAUCAAUGACACAAAAGUUAGAACGACCUAAAAUAUUGUUAUACAAAUUUCAUUAAUCUAAAUAUAAUAAUACAUACCUAACUUAGAAUUUAUCGACCAAACAAAUGAAUGUUUUAAUUAAAUGAUAGAAUUAUACAUAAUGCAAAAUUUUUAAGGAUUGACAUUGGACCAUGCGUAGCACGGCGUAAGCCGACUAGUCUAUAAAUAGAAUGCAAUAUCAUCCAUACACAAUGCAAUUUCAUCCAUAGUAUAGUUCUUUAGAGAGUUUUGUCGGGGGUAAUUAAUUCUCAUAAUUUAUUUGGAACAAUUUUUUAUAUUAGUAUUAUUAUAGGAAAAAUUACUUAAAACUAGACCUUAACUUUUCAUUAUUACUUAAAAUCAUAUCCCUCUAAAUUAAUUACAAAAAUUCUUUCUAACUCAUAAAAUCCUAAUAUUUGCUGAUACAUUACAACCCAUCCUAUUUUUGCGCCUCCUACUCCUCAAAACUCGCCCAAAAUCACGAAGAAGUAUCCGAUAUUUUUCACCAACUCAGCAAUUUUAAAUUUCAACCGUGUUAUCAGUCACUACAACAUUCAAGUUUCAACUUUCAAUUACAACCUCCAUUAACUUUCUUCUUCAAAUUUAUAGGAGGUAAGUUUGUUUGCAUAAUUUUUUUUAUUACAAAGACAGUGACUUUUUGUGAAAAUAGAUCGAAGUAUCAUAACUAUCCAACUAUGAUGAAGAAACUACAGGAGAUUACUGGUAGUAGCAAUAAGAAGCAUAUUGUUGGUUGAUGUUCAUUGUUUUGGCAUCAAAGAUAACAUAAUGUAUCGUUAUGGCAUCAAAGAUAUGAAACUACGGGACAUGCUAGGAGCCCAUCCUUUUGGCAUAAAAGAUACAUUACAUAGAAAUAAGAAACUACGAGACACUAGGAGCCCGUCGUUUUGGCAUCAAAGAUAACGCAAUGUAUCGUUUUGUUAAAAAAAAAGUUUUUUUAUCAAAGGUAUGAAUUAUAUGUAUUCUUGUUAACGUAAUGUAUCAUAUGUAUAAACAAGUUUUCAAAUUGGGGAUUUUGAUAAUAAAAGAGGUGUGUUGCAGAUGACUAUAUUGUAUUCGUACAUAUCUGUUUGUUCUGAUAGAUCAUAAAAUUUAUGCGUGAUUUUGAUUCUUUCUACACCUGAUACAUUCAAUAUAAUAUGUCUGAUACAUGAUCCAAGGUUAAUAAGAUAUUGCAUGCUUUCUGACAUAUAAUUCAACCCAUAUGUGAUUUUGAUCCAUUUUUAUACCUGAUACAUUUAAUAUAUUGAUUAUCAUACAUAGAUCUAUUUUCUGACCAAACUAUUGAGUGCUUUCUGAUACAUAAAAAGAUUUAUAUAUGAUAUGAGUUUCGCAUUCCUAAUACAUUAAUUUUUUUACACCUCCUACAUUUAAUAUAUAUAUAUAUAUAUAUGUGUGUGUGUGUGUGUGUGAUAUGGGUUUCGCAUUCCUGAUACAUUAAUUUUUUUACAUAGAAAGAUAUAUAUGGAAUAUGGGAUUUGUACUUCUGAGAAAUCAAAUUCUUAUAUUGUGUUUAAUUUUUUUCUGAACGCAGGGGAUGAGAUUUUUAUGAUGAAAAUGAAAUGAAUGAUUGGAGAAGGAAUUAGUUUUGGGAGAUUAUGAUUGAUGAAGCUUGAUUUGACUAUUCAAAUUUCAAAUAAAGAAGUUGUUACAGAUUUUAUGUAAUUAAACAGACACAAUCUUAGAUUGAGUGUGUUAAUUACUAAAUUGUAGGCACUUUUACUGGUUUUUUCCUUUUUUAU
This 4567-nucleotide long non-coding RNA is filed under the name Capsicum annuum. Its description in RNAcentral is "long non-coding RNA (CANN_LNC003961)". The record is from RNAcentral. Lineage: Eukaryota; Viridiplantae; Streptophyta; Magnoliopsida; Solanales; Solanaceae.